Drosophila montana is the source of this 701-nucleotide long non-coding RNA. RefSeq lists it as uncharacterized. The record is from RefSeq and is a predicted model, not a curated record. Lineage: Eukaryota; Metazoa; Arthropoda; Insecta; Diptera; Drosophilidae. The transcript is spliced from 3 exons.
AUAAUAUCUAUUUUCAGUUCAAAGUCAGUUCAAAAGUUUUUACCCCAUGAAACCGACAUUUGUCGAUUUUCGGGGUAAUAUGCUAUUUUGAAUGAGCCGAAUGACUUCGUAGUUCUAGCAGCUGCGUGGAUAUAGAUAACGUUUGCGCAUGACGAAGCCCAAGUGGAUGCACAAUGUUCUUUCGUUCAACGUCUGGAGAGCAGGAAGCCUGAUAUCUUUGACGUAAACUGAAAUAGCGCCACAUCAAAAUGCUCGCUGUAAUAUAAGGCGUAUUUGGGACAACAGCUUUGCUAAUUUGAAGGUGCCGCUUAUUCCUUCCAAUGAUCUCAGUGCAAUUAAGAUCUAUUGUAUAUAUAUAGCCUGAAGCAGAUUGUGUGGUCUUUCUCUCCCGCCUGCUAUGGCCAAAGGACCCGAUGGUAUUGGCAGCUUCUGGCGCAUGUUAGCCCACGGGCUGUGGACUACGCUUCUGCUUCUGCCACGCCCUCUAAAUUGCUGGUAUUCACAGCUAGAUUGACAAAUUAAGGACUACAAUGAAUUCUAAGGACCUCCACGAGGGACAAAGCUAAUUUUUCCAGGAUCAGACUUUAAUUAAGCCAGAUACAGCUAUUUUAAGUUCAAAUAAGCAAAAAUUUUAAUUAACGCUCGCUUUGUACACUUUUAAGAGAAAUAUUUAAGAAAAUUAGCAUAAAAAACAAUUAAAC